UCUCUCUCUCUCUCUCUCUCUCAGACCAUCAUCGCCAUUGUUGAAGAUCCAACAGCAGACGGAAACUGGACCGACUGAAAGACGGAAACCAGCAAGCUCGAUCGGAAACCGUCAAAUCUCGAUCGGUGAGUUGGGAGAUUGUAUUGUGGGUUUCUGGGUUUCUAUGUUGAUGUUUUGUAGUUUGUACAGUGGGUUUCUGGGUUUCUGGUUUGAUUACUGUUAGUGAGUUUUGUUGUUGAUUACUGGGUUUCUGUCAAUUAUGAUUAACACGAAGCUCUUCUAGAAUAGGAUAUGCUGUUGGUGUUGCCAUUGACAUAUGAAACACGCCCUCAAUUUAUCUUGUCCUUUUCAGCCAUUAAGAUGAUGUAACAUAACAAAACGUGAUUGCUUAACAAGGUAAUGACUUGCAGAGCUUGAAGCAUACAAGCAUGAAGCAUCUGUGUUUACUGUCUAGGUUUUGGUUUUUAGCUGUUUUUUUCCUUUUUCAGUUUUUUUGUUCAAAGGCCCGUUUUGGGCUCGGUCCCAAACGAGAUUCGGGCCUAUCGGGAUCACUUCUAAAAAACACUAAUCCCGACCCGGCCCGUCCCUAUUCAAAAUUUCAGGUUCGGGUUCGAGAUCACCCUAAUCCCGGCCCGUCCCGGCCCAUGCCCAGGCCUACUUUAAUCCAACGGCUGGAUUCUACAUUAAAUCACCGCCAAAAUACCAAACUUCAGAAAUUCACCAACCUAUCCAAAACUCAUCCAAAAAUUCCAUAAUUUACAUCAAUAUACUCCCCUUAAUAUUCCACAUUUAAAACCAUAAAAAUCUCCCAAACAGCGGCGGCCGGAGGCCGAUUCCGGCGACCUCCAAUUCCUAUGAAAUUUUGACAGCAUAAUCCUCUCAUCAUGCUCUACAACUUUCCUAACUAGCACAAACCCAAAAUCCAAGCCUAGCUAUGUCAAUCGAACAAAAACAUCAAAAACGCCCUAGAGCUUCCACCUCAAAUUUCUCCUUACCUAAAGCAAACCGGAGUGAGUCCUUUUAGGGCAAGGCAGCUGGGUUAGAGACCUAUAAAACCGUACCAAGCUUGCCUAGAUUGGUGGCCGGAGGAAGGAGUUCCGGCGAUGGAGGACUUUGGGCAGCCCGAGGUUCUAGGCGGGAGAACUCCUUCACGGUGGCGCUAGGGCAGCCUUCACCGGCCUAGAAUGGAAGCUGGGUCGAAGGGCAACCGAACGGGACCGGAGCGGCGGCCUACGGUGGCCGGACGGCGGCAAGCUAAGCGGAGGAAACCAGCGGGGGAGAGAGAGCUCGGGAGGGAGAGAGAGAAGAGAGAAAUAGGCUUGGGCCUCCUACCAGGUCCAAGUCCUAUAUACAACCCAAUUCCAAAAAUAAAACAUCCCAAAAAAAUAAUACCCGAAUAAAAAUUACCUUUUACUAGCUAAAAUUUACCAUUUUUUACCGUCGUCAUAUUUUCCUCCUACGAAUAAUCCUCCGCACAUAAUCGUCCCCGAAACCCCUCUAGGGACCAAUUAAACUAUUACCUCAAUGACGGAGACGGUAAAAUUCUUAUUAUAACCAAGCUAGUAAAUAAGGUAAAAAUAUAAGGGUCGGGAUGUGACAAUUCUCCCCUCUUUAUAAAAUUUCGUCCUCGAAAUUUACAUACCUGUCAUUCGAAGAGAUAGGGAUAUUGCUGCAUCAUUUGCUCCUCUGAUUCCCAAGUAGUUUCUUCUACUUGAUGACUUCUCCAAAGUACCUUGACAAGUGGGAUUGUCUUGUUCCUGAGCACUUGCUUCUUUUGAUCAAGAAUCUGAACCGGAUCCUCUUCAUAAGACAAAUUUUUCAUCAAACUGAUCGGCUGCUCUUGCAGCACAUGAGAAGGAUCGGCAAUAUACUUGCGAAGCAUGGAUACAUGAAUCACAUUAUGUAUCCUGGAUAACUCUGGAGGCAAAGCUAAUCGAUAAGCAAGUGAGCCAACUCGCUCUAUUAUCUCAUAGGGGCCAAUAUACCUCGGGCUAAGUUUCCCAUGUUUUCCAAAACGUACUACCCCUUUCCAAAGAGAUAAUUUCAGGAACACCCAAUCACCCACUCGAAAUUCAAGGUCUUUCCUGCGGACAUCUACAUAACUCUUCUGCCUACUUUAAGCGGUCUUGAGUCUAUCUCUGACCACUUUAAUCUUCUCAUUUGUAACAUGAAUCAAUUCUGGGUCACAAAGCUCUUUUUCCCCUACUUCAUUCCAACACAAAGGCACACGACACUGCCUCCCAUAAAGUGCCUCAAAAGGAGCCAUACCAAUGCUAGAAUGAAAGCUAUUAUUAUAGGCAAAUUCCAUCAAAGAUAGGUUUUUAUCCCAACUCCCUCUGAACUGCAAGGCACAAGCCCUCAACAUAUCCUCCAAAGUCUGAAUAGUCCUCUCGGACUGCCCAUCAGUCUAAGGAUGAAAAGCAGUGCUGAAGAGCAAUUGGGUACCUAAAGCUGCCUGAAGAGCUCCCCAGAAUUUAGAAGCAAAUCUAGGAUCCCGAUCUGACACUAUUGAUUCAGUAACACCAUGAAGCCUAACAAUUUCAUUCACAUAAAGCUCCGCCAAUUUAUCCAAUUUAUACUUCUUUCCCACUGGCAAGAAAUGUGCAGACUUGGUGAGUCGAUCCACAAUCACCCAAAUACCGUCAUGCCCUUCACGGGUACGAGGUAAACUGAAAACAAAAUCCAUGGUGAUGUGGUCCCACUUCCACACUGGAAUAGGCAACGGCUCAAGCAAUCCAGAAGGCUUCUGCCUUUCAGCUUUUACUUGCUGACAAAUUCGACAUCUACUCACAUAAGCUGCAAUUUCCCUCUUCAUGUUUGGUCACCAAUAAUAAUCCUUCAAAAUCUGAUACAUUUUUGUGCUACCCGGAUGAGCAGCAUAUGCAGAACUAUGAGCUUCCUCCAUAAUCUCACUCUUCAACUCUUCAUUUCUUUUUGGAACACAAAGCCUAUUCUUAAACAAUAAAGUCCCAUCUCUUCUAACUGAAAAAUGAUCGGCUGCAGCUCCAUUCAAAGCUCUUUCUAUCAAUCGAACUAUGGAAGGAUCAUUAUUCUGUGCUUCCCGCACUCUAUCAACCAAAACUGGCCUCACAUAAAAACUGUCUACCAAAGCACCAACCUCAUCUACUGCUAAAUCCACCCCUGUAGCUCGCAACUCAUAAAGAAGCGGAACACGAACCAUCUUUAUAUGAAAUAAAGAUAUGGAGGGAUUUCAGCUAAGAGCAUCAGCUACAACAUUAGCUUUUCCAGGAUGAUACUCAAUAGUGCAAUCAUAAUCAUUGAUUAACUCCAUCCACCUUCUCUGUCUCAUAUUUAGCUCUCUUUGAGUGAACACAUACCGAAAACUCUUGUGAUCGGUAAAAAUUUGACACUUGGCUCCAUAAAGAUAGUGUCUCCACAGCUUGAGAGCAAAAACUACCACUGCAAGCUCCAGAUCAUGAGUAAGAUAAUUCCCCUCAUGCAGCUUCAAUUGCUUAGAAGCGUAGGCAAUAACUCGAUCAUGCUGCAUCAAAACUCCACUUAGACCACGUCUAGAAGCAUCACAAUAGACCACAUACUCUCCACUAUCAUUCGGAAGUGCCAAAACAGGAGCACUAGUCAAGCAAUUCUUCAAUUCUUGAAAACUUUGCUCGCAUAGAUUUGACCAUUCAAACUUAACCCCCUUCCUGGUCAAUCUUGUAAGAAGAGCAGCAAUCUUUGAAAAAUCUUUCACAAAGCGCCGAUAAUAACCUGCUAAUCCCAAUAAACUACGAAUCUCCGUCACAGUGGUGGGUCUUCUCCAAUUUGAUACUGCUUCCACCUUUUGGGGAUCCACACUAACUCCUUCUGUCGAAAUCACAUGACCCAAGAACCCCACUUUAUCUAGCCAAAACUCACACUUGCUAAACUUAGCAAAUAACUGCGAAUUUUCUAAAGUCCGCAAUAUUAUUCUUAGAUGCUUGGCGUGCUCCUUCUCACUUCUUGAGUAAACCAAGAUGUCAUCUCUGAAUAUGAUCACGAAACGAUCAAGAUAUGGACUAAACACCCUAUUCAUGAGAUCCAUGAACGCCGCGGGUGCAUUAGUAAGUCCAAAUGGCAUCACCACAAACUCAUAAUGACCAUAUCGUGACCGAAAAGCAGUCUUGGCUAUGUCCCCCUCUCGGAUCCGCAACUGAUGAUAACCCGAUCUCAAAUCGAUCUUAGAGAAAACAGAGGCACCCCUCAACUGAUCAAAUAAAUCAUCAAUCCGAGGCAACAAAUAUUUAUUCUUCACUGUGACCUGAUUCAACUUCCUAUAGUCAAUGCAUAGUCUCAUGGUGCCAUCUUUCUUCUUAACAAACAACACCGGAGCACCCCAUGGAGACAUGCUAGGCCGAAUAAAACCCUUGUCUACCAACUCCUGCAAUUGAAUCUUCAACUCUUUCAAUUCCGCUGGAGCCAUUCUGUAAGGUGCCUGAGAGAUAGGCAUGGUUCUGGGAAGUAAUUCUAUAGAGAAGUCUAUCUCCCUUACAGGAGGCAAACCAAGCAACUCUUCAGGAAAAACAUCCGGGAACUCCCUUACUACUGGAAUAUCUUCUAUUCUCACGACUCUCAUACUUGAAUCCACCACAUGAGCUAAAUAUGCUUGACAGCCUUUACUCAACAAUUUCCUUGCAGCAAUAGCGGAAAUUAUGCAACUAGAAAUAACAUCUCUUUCCCAUUGGAAAGCAACCUCAAAACCAUCUGGACUUCGAAGCACCACUACUUUCUGAAAACAAUCUACCAUAGCUCUAUAUGCUUCCAAAAAGUCCAUUCCCAAGAUCACAUCAAACUCCACUAUAUCUAGAGGAAUUAAAUCAGCCUCGAAAUUAACUCCUUCCACUAAAACUUCACAACCACUAAACACUCAAUUUAUCCUCAUCACCUCACCGGAGGGUAGAGACACAUGUCACUCGCCUGGAAGAGACGAUGAUGGCACAUUGGCAUGGAGGGCAAAUCUACUAGACAAGAAUGAAUGCGUGGCUCCGGGAUCAAUUAAAGUAAAUGCAAGCUGACCAAAAAUUAAUAACGUACCAAUGAUGACAUCUGGAGAAGUACGACCCUCCUGCUGGGUCAUAGCAUGCAGUCUAGCGCGAGUCAUGGGACGUCCACGCUGACCACCUCCCCGCUGAGAGCCACCUCUGACCGAAGCACUGCCCUGGGCACCACUACUAGAGCCCCUAGCUAAAGACUGACCAACUGGCUGAGUAGGGGUGGGGGUGGUCCUCUGAGCCAACAAUGGGCAAUCUCUCCUGAAGUGGUCUUGACCACCACUUCAAAGCACCCAGAAAACUGCUGCUGCCCAUAAGAAAAAGUCUGGCUACCGGAUGACCCACCAUGGAAGCUACCACCAGAACCAUACUGCCCAGACUGCUGCCUACCCAAAUGACUCCGAGAAGAACUUCUGAAACGUCCCUUAGACUUGCUUCGAACACCAAAGCUAGAUCUACCACUACUGCCACUACCAGCAAAAGACCCAGAAGCGGAUAAUGAAGCAGCCUUCUUGGAUGGACCUUGACUGGGGCCACUGAAAUCACGAGGCCGAGCACCAUAUGUCCCCAUGGACUCAAUGGCCAUGGCUGCAGUAACCGCAUCCAUAAAGGUCGGAUAAAUCACCCCCUUCAUCUUGUCUGCAUACACUCCACCAAGUGCCCCAAUGAACAUCUCAAUCCUGGUCCUCUCAUCAGGAACCAGAUAUGACACAUGGUAGCUCAGGGAAGUGAAUCUCUCCUGGAACUCUAUAACACCCUCAUCAUCCCUCUUCGUCAUAUGCAGGAAAUCUGACUGAAUUCUGCUGCAGUGGGCAUGAUUGAAAUACUGCCCCAAGAAGAGAGUCUUGAACUACUCCCAUGACAUAUUCAGAGCAUCCUCAAUAUUCCUGCUGGCAAGCGACCACCAGUGAUGUGCUGAAUCAUCCAGAAAAGUCACUGUCAUCUUCACCUUUCUUUCUUCUGGCAACUCAGUGCUCGCAAAAGCAUUUUCCAUCUUGUCCACCCAAUUGUGAGCAUCAAGAGGUCCCUUGGCACCCUUGAACUCUCUCGCUCCAGCAUCAAAAACUUCUCUCCUUUUCACCGUAGGAGGGCGUGGAGCUCGAUCCAUGACAUCCCUCAGCAUAUUUCCAAUAUCAUCAACCAGUCCCCUUACCUUAUUGCCCUCAUCGACAUUGGUCGAAGUAGCCACACGGGGUUGCCGUGGGCGCUUAGGAGGCAUAGUACCUGAGGAAGAAGAUAUUUAGUAGUCCAUAAAUAAGACUAACACAACUAUCACACAUACCCAAUAACACAUAGCAUCAAAAGCAUAAAAUGCCAAUGAAUCCGCCGCGGUCGGAUCAUCACUCUAUAGAAACUACAUGCUACUUAGGCAGACAUGAUAGUGACAAGGAAGCAGGAAAAGGAAACCUAAAGCUCUGAUACCAACUAACACGACCCACCCCGAAUUUCACCCUGCAACUCGGAGUAAGUUGUGCGGGGACCACCUCCAAGGAAAAUUUACCGUAAAGAUUGAUAAAACCUCCCUUGAAAAUGGACAACCCUAACUCGAAAAUUUCAAAUUUACACUCUUAUUACAGCACGUCCAAAGGUCACAUAAUUAUCCAGCUAAAAACAACAAAUCUUAUCCUUCAGAAAUUCUAAACAUGAAGUCAACCGACCGAGCACACUACCGAAAUAAUAUACAAUAAUCUCAAAGUAUUCAGAGCUACUAGACACUAGCGGAAUCAAGAAAACACUAGUAGGUUAAACAGGUAACCUACUGAUGAAAACUGGCGGAAAUGCGGGUGACUAUGCCUCGCCUCCUACUAGAUCCAACCCAAACUCUGCAGACUAGGCAUUUUAAAACAAAGAGCCCAAGGGAAGACAUUUGAAACCGUUAGAGUGAGUGGACAAAAAUAAAAUUUAAAAGAAAAUAAUUCUUUAUGCUUCCCAAAUUAACUUCUGAGGAAAAAUAGUUAACAGCAUGCAACAAGCUCCAAAAGCUUUUAAAAAAUUUACCGAAUUUACCGAAACGUGACUAGCCGCGCUAGUCACCAACACUUCAAAAAUAAGAGCCUCUCAGGCUAAAACAAAAUAUGUAUAUAUUACACUCGUCAUAUCCCUUGUAUGAAUUUUCUUGAAACAACAAAGACAAAUAGAAAAUUCACACAAGGCUAUGACGCUUGCGUCUAACGCUCACGUCGCACCAUAAUGGCAUUUUACCUCAUUAUGGUUGAAAAGACGGUGUAUAAAUAUAUAUAUACGCGCAUAUCCCCUAUAUAAAUUAUUAUAUUUAUAUAGGGCUACGACGAUUGCGUCUAACGCUCACGUCGCACCAUAAUGGCAUUUUACCUCAGUAUGAUGGAAAAGCACGUAUAGCUAGCUAGCAUUCCCUCAUAUACAUAUUAUUCUCAUAAUCAUCCAAAUAUGGAUAUAUAUACAUACUCACCGAAAUUCUCAAUUUCGGUUAUUCUCUAACCACAUAAAUUAUUUCGCAUGCACAUUAUUUAAAAUAAAAGUCCACUCACAAAUUAGGCCUAAGCCUAAUGUCGAUCUGGGGCCUCGUCUGCUUGAGCCUCCUCACGACCUGUUCCAAAAAUAAUAUUAAUUUCCCAGUCCGAAAUUCCAAUAUUUACGCAAAAUAUGCCAAAAUUAACCGAGAGCCAUAAACACGCUCGUCAUUGCCUAACUUCGAAAUGGUCCACAAUUCAACCCUAGAACCAGCAGCCGUAAUUACACCUUCCCACAGUUUAAACAACUUUAAUCCAACGGCCGGAUUCUACAUUAAAUCACCGCCAAAAUACCAAACUUUGGAAAUUCACCAACCUAUCCAAAACUCAUCCAAAAAUUCCAUAAUUUACAUCAAUAUACUCCCCUAAAUAUUUCACAUUUAACACCAUAAAAAUCUCCCAAACAGCGGCGGCUGGAGGCCGAUUCCGGCGACCUCCAAUUCCUAUGAAAUUUUGACAGCAUAAUCCUCUCAUCAUGCUCUACAACUUUCCUAACUAGCACAAACCCAAAAUCCAAGCCUAGCUAUGCCAAUCGAACAAAAACAUCAAAAACG
This 8031-nucleotide long non-coding RNA is filed under the name Fragaria vesca (wild strawberry). RNAcentral's name for it is "long non-coding RNA (FVES_LNC001985)". The record is from RNAcentral. Lineage: Eukaryota; Viridiplantae; Streptophyta; Magnoliopsida; Rosales; Rosaceae.